This 603-nucleotide small RNA is filed under the name Talaromyces marneffei. RNAcentral's name for it is "eukaryotic LSU rRNA". The stretch from base 234 to 387 matches the Rfam family "5.8S ribosomal RNA". The record is from RNAcentral. Lineage: Eukaryota; Fungi; Ascomycota; Eurotiomycetes; Eurotiales; Trichocomaceae.
UGGAAGUAAAAGUCGUAACAAGGUUUCCGUAGGUGAACCUGCGGAAGGAUCAUUACCGAGUGCGGGCCCUCGCGGCCCAACCUCCCACCCUUGUCUCUAUACACCUGUUGCUUUGGCGGGCCCACCGGGGCCACCCGGUCGCCGGGGGACGUUUGUCCCCGGGCCCGCGCCCGCCGAAGCGCCCUGUGAACCCUGAUGAAGAUGGACUGUCUGAGUACCAUGAAAAUUGUCAAAACUUUCAACAAUGGAUCUCUUGGUUCCGGCAUCGAUGAAGAACGCAGCGAAAUGCGAUAAGUAAUGUGAAUUGCAGAAUUCCGUGAAUCAUCGAAUCUUUGAACGCACAUUGCGCCCCCUGGCAUUCCGGGGGGCAUGCCUGUCCGAGCGUCAUUUCUGCCCUCAAGCACGGCUUGUGUGUUGGGUGUGGUCCCUCCGGGGACCUGCCCGAAAGGCAGCGGCGACGUCCGUCUGGUCCUCGAGCGUAUGGGGCUCUGUCACUCGCUCGGGAAGGACCUGCGGGGGUUGGUCACCACCAUAUUUACCACGGUUGACCUCGGAUCAGGUAGGAGUUACCCGCUGAACUUAAGCAUAUCAAUAAGCGGAGGA